GACGAGCGGCGAACGGGUGAGUAACACGUAGGAAUCUACCCAGUAGCGGGGGAUAGCCCAGGGAAACUUGGAUUAAUACCGCAUACGCCCUAAGGGGAAAAGAAGGCCUCUCUUUGAAGCUUUCACUAUUGGAUGAGCCUGCGUAAGAUUAGCUUGUUGGUGGGGUAAAGGCCUACCAAGGCAACGAUCUUUAGCUGGUCUGAGAGGACGAUCAGCCACAUUGGGACUGAGACACGGCCCAGACUUCUACGGAAGGCAGCAGUUAGGAAUAUUGGACAAUGGGGGCAACCCUGAUCCAGCUAUACCGCGUGUGUGAAGAAGGCCCUAGGGUUGUAAAGCACUUUAAGCAGGGAAGAAGCAUACUAAGUUAAUACCUUAAUAUGUUGACGUUACCUGAAGAAUAAGGACCGGCUAACUCCGUGCCAGCAGCCGCGGUAAUACGGAGGGUCCAAGCGUUAAUCGGAAUUACUGGGCGUAAAGCGCGCGUAGGUGGUUUAUUAAGUUGGAUGUGAAAUCCCCGGGCUCAACCUGGGAACUGCAUCCAAAACUGAUUCACUAGAGUACGAUAGAGGGAGGUAGAAUUCACAGUGUAGCGGUGGAAUGCGUAGAUAUUGUGAAGAAUACCAAUGGCGAAGGCAGCCUCCUGGAUCUGUACUGACACUGAGGUGCGAAAGCGUGGGUAGCGAACAGGAUUAGAUACCCUGGUAGUCCACGCCGUAAACGAUGUCAACUAGCUGUUGGAAAGCAUUGCUUUUCAGUGGCGCAGCUAACGUAGUAAGUUGACCGCCUGGGGAGUACGGCCGCAAGGUUAAAACUCAAAUGAAUUGACGGGGACCCGCACAAGCGGUGGAGCAUGUGGUUUAAUUCGAUGCAACGCGAAAAACCUUACCUACUCUUGACAUACUUGGAGGCUCUUGUAAUGAGAGUGUGCCUUUUGGAACCAAGAUACAGGUGCUGCAUGGCUGUCGUCAGCUCGUGUCGUGAGAUGUUCCGUUAAGUCGGAUAACGAGCGCAACCCUUACCCUUAUUUGCCAGCACAUCAUGGUGGGAACUAUAAGGAGACUGCCGGUGAUAAACCGGAGGAAGGCGGGGACGACGUCAAGUCAUCAUGGCCCUUACGACCAGGGCUACACACGUGCUACAAUGGGAAGGACAAAGAGCCGCGAAGCCGCGAGGUGUAGCUAAUCUCAUAAACCUUUUCGUAGUCCGGAUUGGAGUCUGCAACUCGACUCCAUGAAGUCGGAAUCGCUAGUAAUCGUAGAUCAGAAUGCUACGGUGAAUACGUUCCCGGGUCUUGUACACACCGCCCGUCAUACCAUGGGAGUGGGUUGCACCAGAAGUGGCUAGUCUAACUUUAUGAGGACGGU
RNAcentral lists this ribosomal RNA (1367 nucleotides) under uncultured bacterium. RNAcentral describes it as "16S ribosomal RNA". It matches the Rfam family "Bacterial small subunit ribosomal RNA", at positions 90 to 1454 of the family's 1533-position model. The record is from RNAcentral.